UAAGCGACUAAGCGUACACGGUGGAUGCCCUGGCAGUCAGAGGCGAUGAAGGACGUGCUAAUCUGCGAUAAGCGUCGGUGAGGUGAUAUGAACCGUUAUAACCGGCGAUUUCCGAAUGGGGAAACCCAGUGUGUUUCGACACACUAUCAUUAACUGAAUCCAUAGGUUAAUGAGGCGAACCGGGGGAACUGAAACAUCUAAGUACCCCGAGGAAAAGAAAUCAACCGAGAUUCCCCCAGUAGCGGCGAGCGAACGGGGAGGAGCCCAGAGCCUGAAUCAGUGUGUGUGUUAGUGGAAGCGUCUGGAAAGGCGUGCGAUACAGGGUGACAGCCCCGUACACAAAAAUGCACAUAUUGUGAGCUCGAUGAGUAGGGCGGGACACGUGGUAUCCUGUCUGAAUAUGGGGGGACCAUCCUCCAAGGCUAAAUACUCCUGACUGACCGAUAGUGAACCAGUACCGUGAGGGAAAGGCGAAAAGAACCCCGGCGAGGGGAGUGAAAAAGAACCUGAAACCGUGUACGUACAAGCAGUGGGAGCCUCUUAAUGGGGUGACUGCGUACCUUUUGUAUAAUGGGUCAGCGACUUAUAUUCUGUAGCAAGGUUAACCGAAUAGGGGAGCCGAAGGGAAACCGAGUCUUAACUGGGCGUUAAGUUGCAGGGUAUAGACCCGAAACCCGGUGAUCUAGCCAUGGGCAGGUUGAAGGUUGGGUAACACUAACUGGAGGACCGAACCGACUAAUGUUGAAAAAUUAGCGGAUGACUUGUGGCUGGGGGUGAAAGGCCAAUCAAACCGGGAGAUAGCUGGUUCUCCCCGAAAGCUAUUUAGGUAGCGCCUCGUGAAUUCAUCUCCGGGGGUAGAGCACUGUUUCGGCAAGGGGGUCAUCCCGACUUACCAACCCGAUGCAAACUGCGAAUACCGGAGAAUGUUAUCACGGGAGACACACGGCGGGUGCUAACGUCCGUCGUGAAGAGGGAAACAACCCAGACCGCCAGCUAAGGUCCCAAAGUCAUGGUUAAGUGGGAAACGAUGUGGGAAGGCCCAGACAGCCAGGAUGUUGGCUUAGAAGCAGCCAUCAUUUAAAGAAAGCGUAAUAGCUCACUGGUCGAGUCGGCCUGCGCGGAAGAUGUAACGGGGCUAAACCAUGCACCGAAGCUGCGGCAGCGACACUAUGUGUUGUUGGGUAGGGGAGCGUUCUGUAAGCCUGUGAAGGUGGCCUGUGAGGGUUGCUGGAGGUAUCAGAAGUGCGAAUGCUGACAUAAGUAACGAUAAAGCGGGUGAAAAGCCCGCUCGCCGGAAGACCAAGGGUUCCUGUCCAACGUUAAUCGGGGCAGGGUGAGUCGACCCCUAAGGCGAGGCCGAAAGGCGUAGUCGAUGGGAAACAGGUUAAUAUUCCUGUACUUGGUGUUACUGCGAAGGGGGGACGGAGAAGGCUAUGUUGGCCGGGCGACGGUUGUCCCGGUUUAAGCGUGUAGGCUGGUUUUCCAGGCAAAUCCGGAAAACCAAGGCUGAGGCGUGAUGACGAGGCACUACGGUGCUGAAGUGACAAAUGCCCUGCUUCCAGGAAAAGCCUCUAAGCAUCAGGUAACAUCAAAUCGUACCCCAAACCGACACAGGUGGUCAGGUAGAGAAUACCAAGGCGCUUGAGAGAACUCGGGUGAAGGAACUAGGCAAAAUGGUGCCGUAACUUCGGGAGAAGGCACGCUGAUAUGUAGGUGAAGCGACUUGCUCGUGGAGCUGAAAUCAGUCGAAGAUACCAGCUGGCUGCAACUGUUUAUUAAAAACACAGCACUGUGCAAACACGAAAGUGGACGUAUACGGUGUGACGCCUGCCCGGUGCCGGAAGGUUAAUUGAUGGGGUUAGCGGUAACGCGAAGCUCUUGAUCGAAGCCCCGGUAAACGGCGGCCGUAACUAUAACGGUCCUAAGGUAGCGAAAUUCCUUGUCGGGUAAGUUCCGACCUGCACGAAUGGCGUAAUGAUGGCCAGGCUGUCUCCACCCGAGACUCAGUGAAAUUGAACUCGCUGUGAAGAUGCAGUGUACCCGCGGCAAGACGGAAAGACCCCGUGAACCUUUACUAUAGCUUGACACUGAACAUUGAGCCUUGAUGUGUAGGAUAGGUGGGAGGCUUUGAAGUGUGGACGCCAGUCUGCAUGGAGCCGACCUUGAAAUACCACCCUUUAAUGUUUGAUGUUCUAACGUUGGCCCGUAAUCCGGGUUGCGGACAGUGUCUGGUGGGUAGUUUGACUGGGGCGGUCUCCUCCUAAAGAGUAACGGAGGAGCACGAAGGUUGGCUAAUCCUGGUCGGACAUCAGGAGGUUAGUGCAAUGGCAUAAGCCAGCUUGACUGCGAGCGUGACGGCGCGAGCAGGUGCGAAAGCAGGUCAUAGUGAUCCGGUGGUUCUGAAUGGAAGGGCCAUCGCUCAACGGAUAAAAGGUACUCCGGGGAUAACAGGCUGAUACCGCCCAAGAGUUCAUAUCGACGGCGGUGUUUGGCACCUCGAUGUCGGCUCAUCACAUCCUGGGGCUGAAGUAGGUCCCAAGGGUAUGGCUGUUCGCCAUUUAAAGUGGUACGCGAGCUGGGUUUAGAACGUCGUGAGACAGUUCGGUCCCUAUCUGCCGUGGGCGCUGGAGAACUGAGGGGGGCUGCUCCUAGUACGAGAGGACCGGAGUGGACGCAUCACUGGUGUUCGGGUUGUCAUGCCAAUGGCACUGCCCGGUAGCUAAAUGCGGAAGAGAUAAGUGCUGAAAGCAUCUAAGCACGAAACUUGCCCCGAGAUGAGUUCUCCCUGACUCCUUGAGAGUCCUGAAGGAACGUUGAAGACGACGACGUUGAUAGGCCGGGUGUGUAAGCGCAGCGAUGCGUUGAGCUAACCGGUACUAAUGAACCGUGAGGCUUAACCU
Molecule: ribosomal RNA, 2900 nt
Filed under: Escherichia coli 8-415-05_S3_C1
Lineage: Bacteria; Pseudomonadati; Pseudomonadota; Gammaproteobacteria; Enterobacterales; Enterobacteriaceae
Also listed under: 1 other name
Description: bacterial LSU rRNA
Rfam family: Bacterial large subunit ribosomal RNA
Source: RNAcentral